CCUACGGGAGGCAGCAGUGGGGAAUAUUGGACAAUGGGGGCAACCCCGAUCCAGCCAUGCCGCGUGUGUGAAGAAGGCCCUCGGGUUGUAAAGCACUUUCAGUGAGGAAGAACGCCUGGUGGUUAAUACCCAUCAGGAAAGACAUCACUCACAGAAGAAGCACCGGCUAACUCCGUGCCAGCAGCCGCGGUAAUACGGAGGGUGCGAGCGUUAAUCGGAAUUACUGGGCGUAAAGCGCGCGUAGGUGGCUUGAUAAGCCGGUUGUGAAAGCCCCGGGCUCAACCUGGGAACGGCAUCCGGAACUGUCAAGCUAGAGUGCAGGAGAGGAAGGUAGAAUUCACGGUGUAGCGGUGAAAUGCGUAGAGAUCGGGCGGAAUACCAGUGGCGAAGGCGGCCUUCUGGACUGACACUGACACUGAGGUGCGAAAGCGUGGGUAGCAAACAGGAUUAGAUACCCCUGUAGUC
Molecule: ribosomal RNA, 465 nt
Filed under: Vreelandella stevensii
Lineage: Bacteria; Pseudomonadati; Pseudomonadota; Gammaproteobacteria; Oceanospirillales; Halomonadaceae
Description: partial 16S ribosomal RNA
Rfam family: Bacterial small subunit ribosomal RNA
Source: RNAcentral